Molecule: non-coding RNA, 2090 nt
Organism: Lolium perenne
Lineage: Eukaryota; Viridiplantae; Streptophyta; Magnoliopsida; Poales; Poaceae
Source: RefSeq, a predicted model, not a curated record
GCAAAUCACGCCCCGCGGAAGAAACGCUUCGUCAAAAUGUACCCAGUCAACCCCCAACCACGUCCAUACAGCUCCUCUCCAAUCGGCACGCCGCCUGCAUCUUCGGCUCCCUCGUCCCUCCCCGCGCCAUCCACCUCAUCUCGCACUGCACCCGCCAUGGCAACGGGCUGAAUGCAUCCUGCAGUGGACGGACGGUCAGCAUCUCCUGCUCCAUCCCGACUCGAACUGAGAAUCCGCGCCGGCCGGCCUGAAUGCAUUUUCGUUUAGAACCGAAGAUCCGCACCGCCACGCAGGAUCCGGAUUUGGCCAUGUUCCCUGGAUGCCGCCGCGCUGAGUUCACCGACCGGCUGGCUCAGAUCCACGCAUCCUUAUCAUCAAGAAGACACCCUCCGUGUAGCACCAGAAAUCACAUCGUUGUUGCCGCCGCCUGCAUUUCACGCUCGACCCCACUUUCCCCCGUCCCCGUUUGAGCUCGCCUUGAUUUCUAGCCGCCGCCGCCGCUGUUCCCCACCUCCGGAGCCGUGCUCUCCUCCCGUCAGCGGGGAGAAGCCGCUCCCCAGCGGGAUCUCCACCUCUCCGGUGUGGGGAACGGCCACGACCUCUCUUGCCCUGCCCUGUGUCUUGUCCGGAAUUCAUCAGUCAGGCCGUCCCCAAACCUCCACAUUCUAAAGGGUCGGAUGACAUAGCUGUUAUCAAUAAUUAUGAGACCGAUGCAUAACUUAUUGAGGAAGGGCGGAGAGCACGAAUGUUCAGAAUUUGCUGCAGAGUUGUAUCCUGAUGUAAAGAAGAAUGUGGAUAUUUCAGUAAUUGGAGCUGGAGAGAGCAUAUCCUUACGACGUUUGACAAAAGAAUCACCAAUUUUGCUGAGGACAAGUUUAAGAGCGAAGGAAUAGAUCUGAGCUCCGAAGGAACACAUGACCGCUGCUGCAGUGUUGGAGUGCAGUGUCUAUGGUCGUCGAAGCGCUAAAUCCCCUAUAUUCAAAGGCCACCAGAUAUACAACUACACUCUGAAAAUGCCAUUUCUGUCGCUCUAACCGAUGGCGGCCUUUUAUAUGCACACCAAGAUUCAAGAAUUGAUGAAGUAGGCAUCGGGUUGUCUUUGAUGUCAGUUUGCAAGAACAUCUUUUCAUAUCCCAUUACACCGUUCGCUUUCUUCUCUAUUGCGGAAAGAAAUGAAGAAAUGUUUUGGAGAGGAUGCCAAACAAGAGGAAUGUUCAGCUGUGCAGUCCAGUGAGUUCUUCUCUCAGGCUUGAACAGGUCUUGGACUCAGAUCUGUUUCUGCUUCAGUGCCGUGCUGCAUAAUCUUCGUCAGAGUUCUUUGUGAGGACCAUUCAAGAGAGAUUUGGUUUAUCAAAUUAUACAUCUUUGGAACUCGGAGAACAGAAUGAAGAAGCUUUGGUGUUGCAUUAUCAUCGAGUUCAAAGUUCUCACACUUGGGGCUUUAGCUUCUUAAUUGCAAUAGCAAUUUAUCAUGCUAAAGAUGAUACCGCUAAUGACAUGGAGUGCGGCCACCAUGAACGAGGAAUAAGAGAAUCUGAUUCGGAGGGUGAAGAGUACGACCAUUUGCUGAAUGUUGGUGGUUCCUGUGGGCAAUUGAUUAUCCCAUUUCUGCAGUUACCUCCAUAACAAAAAGUUCAGCAAAGAAUAUUUUUGGAAUGACUCGAUUGAGCAGAUGGUACGCUGCUGAUUUUUCUAUAAUGGAUGACAUGAUAAUGAUGUAUAGGUCGACCAACUUAAGCUAUAGUGGAGAUUUACGAGAUUCCAACAUUUUCUAGCUCCAGUUUGGAAGCUUAUACUGCAAAUGGAGAAAAUAUACUAUAUAUUUCCAUUUCUAUCUGUCAAAUGUAUUUCCAUUUCUAUCUAUCAAAUGUUACUUUGAAUAUUAGGCUCUUUCCUUGAGGUGAGACAUUCAGCAAAUGUAGACAAUGUACUAGAUAUUUCUAUACCUAUGAUCAGAAUGUUAUUUUGCACUAUGUUGGAUUGUGUGAAACUUAUUAGGCUGUUUUCUUGAAGCGAUACAUUUAGCAGAUGGGAUUGAACUUUUUUCGUUCAAAUUAAUUACUGUGUCCCGGAGCUCAUUUUGCUUUUGG